CGCCACUCUCUUUGGUUCCCCUUGGGAUCACCAGCGAACAAACCAGCGCCUCCCCUGUCCCUCCUCGAUUCCCCACCAAACCACCCAAUCCAUCAAUUGAACCAACCAACAGCAACGCUGGAUCCCCCUCAUCCCCAAUCACACUCGAUCCCCCUCCUGCCCUACCUAGCGCACACUAUCCAAGGAGAGGAAAUCCUCCUCGCGCCCCCGAAGAGGAGUUUCUUCUGGAGCUCCUCCUGUACGCUCCCUCUACUCGGCCCCGUCGUCGUUUCGCCGCCACCGACAAGCUCCGGUGAGCAGCGGGCCAACCGCGCCUCCUUCCCUGCCCUCUCCCUCUCUCUGCACCUGAUGCUCGUAACCCCGUCGCAUCUCUGUCCAGGAGCACCGACGUCCACAGCCGCAGUCCCAUGCGCCUCCAUCUGCCGCGGCCAGCCGAGCCUCCCCCGCCGCCUCGCCACUCCGGUGACCACCUCCAGCAGGAGCCUCGAGGGCGCUUGUUGUUUCGAGCUCCAAGCCCCGGACGUCAAGUCCCCGUCCGUCGCUGUCACGAAGGUCGUCCGAGGAGCACCAAGCCACCGUCCCAAGGCCAAGCUGUCGGCUUGUCUCCGCUGCGCCUCGACCACCUGAUCCGGCCGCCCAUCCUCGGAUCCGUUCGUUUUUGCCGUUCCAAACCACCGCCGGGGCUCCUCCUUAUCGCCGCACCCGGAGGACGCCAAGCUGCCGGCACACCUCCCCAACACCCCUGCUUCGCCUGGAUCCGGAUGGGUCCGUGCCUCCCCUGCCGCUGCUUGCUCUGUCGAAGACGACAAGCACCCGCCCGAGCCAGCGGCAUCGUUGGCAGCUUCAGUACACGACGCCCACGUGCCCAUGCCUGGCCGCAUCCCGCUCGCCCGCGUCACUAACCCGCCGCCCUACUUUUUUUUAGGGGUGAAAAACAAUUUAUUCAUCACCAAAAUUCACAUGAAGUGGGAUACAAGAAGGGUCAUGGGGAUUCCCAAGCCACACAUGGCGUCCCGGACCCUGAGAAAGAGCAAAUUUAGCUAGUCUAUGUGCCUCAUAGUUUGCGGCACGACCCUCAAACUCAAACUUAAUAGUAGCUGUGAGAUUUAUUUCGCUAAUGAUAGCGCCAUACCGGCCUCUGACCC
RNAcentral lists this ribosomal RNA (1145 nucleotides) under Triticum aestivum (bread wheat). RNAcentral's name for it is "partial small subunit ribosomal RNA". The record is from RNAcentral. Lineage: Eukaryota; Viridiplantae; Streptophyta; Magnoliopsida; Poales; Poaceae.